AGCGAACGCUGGCGGCAGGCCUAACACAUGCAAGUCGAACGAUCCUUCGGGAUAGUGGCGGACGGGUGAGUAACACGUGGGAACGUGCCCUUUGGUUCGGAACAGCUCAGGGAAACUUGAGCUAAUACCGGAUGUGCCCUUCGGGGGAAAGAUUUAUCGCCAUUGGAGCGGCCCGCGUAGGAUUAGCUAGUUGGUGGGGUAAAGGCCCACCAAGGCUUCGAUCCUUAGCUGGUCUGAGAGGAUGAUCAGCCACACUGGGACUGAGACACGGCCCAGACUCCUACGGGAGGCAGCAGUGGGGAAUCUUGCGCAAUGGGCGAAAGCCUGACGCAGCCAUGCCGCGUGAAUGAUGAAGGUCUUAGGAUUGUAAAAUUCUUUCACCGGGGACGAUAAUGACGGUACCCGGAGAAGAAGCCCCGGCUAACUUCGUGCCAGCCGCCGCAGUAA
This 447-nucleotide ribosomal RNA is filed under the name uncultured bacterium. Its description in RNAcentral is "partial 16S ribosomal RNA". It matches the Rfam family "Bacterial small subunit ribosomal RNA", at positions 29 to 523 of the family's 1533-position model. The record is from RNAcentral.